UAGCUCAGUUCGUAGAGCAUGGCGCUUGCAGCACCAGGGUUGUGGGUUCGAUUCCCAU
This is a non-coding RNA of Salmo salar (Atlantic salmon), 58 nucleotides long. The record is from Rfam. NCBI's taxonomy places the organism in Eukaryota, Metazoa, Chordata, Actinopteri, Salmoniformes, Salmonidae.